Molecule: ribosomal RNA, 1495 nt
Filed under: uncultured bacterium
Lineage: Bacteria
Description: 16S ribosomal RNA
Rfam family: Bacterial small subunit ribosomal RNA
Source: RNAcentral
AGAGUUUGAUCCUGGCUCAGGACGAACGCUGGCGGCGUGCCUAACACAUGCAAGUCGAGCGGGGAACCCCUUCGGGGGUUUUCAGCGGCGGACGGGUGAGUAACGCGUGNNCAAUAGCGGCGGACGGGUGAGUAACGCGUGAGCAACCUUUCCUUCACAGGGGGAUAACGCAGCGAAAGCUGUGCUAAUACCGCAUGAGACCACAGGAUCACAUGGUCCAGGGGUCAAAGGAGAAAUCCAGUGAAGGGUGGGCUCGCGUCUGAUUAGCUAGUUGGCGGGGUAAAGGCCCACCAAGGCAUCGAUCAGUAGCCGACCUGAGAGGGUGAUCGGCCACACUGGGACUGAGACACGGCCCAGACUCCUACGGGAGGCAGCAGUGGGGAAUAUUGGGCAAUGGGGGAAACCCUGACCCAGCAACGCCGCGUGAGGGAAGAAGGUCUUCGGAUCGUAAACCUCUGUCCUUAGUGAAGAGAAGAAGACGGUAGCUAAGGAGGAAGCCCCGGCUAACUACGUGCCAGCAGCCGCGGUAAUACGUAGGGGGCGAGCGUUGUCCGGAAUGAUUGGGCGUAAAGGGCGCGUAGGCGGCCUGUUAAGUCUGGAGUGAAAGUCCCGCUUUUAAGGUGGGAAUUGCUUUGGAAACUGGCGGGCUGGAGUGCAGGAGAGGUUAGUGGAAUUCCCGGUGUAGCGGUGAAAUGCGUAGAGAUCGGGAGGAACACCAGUGGCGAAGGCGACUAACUGGACUGUAACUGACGCUGAGGCGCGAAAGUGUGGGGAGCAAACAGGAUUAGAUACCCUGGUAGUCCACGCUGUAAACGAUGGAUACUAGGUGUGGGAGGUAUCGACCCCUUCCGUGCCGCAGUAAACGCAAUAAGUAUCCCGCCUGGGGAGUACGGCCGCAAGGUUGAAACUCAAAGGAAUUGACGGGGGCCCGCACAAGCAGCGGAGCAUGUGGUUUAAUUCGAAGCAACGCGAAGAACCUUACCAGGGCUUGACAUCCCGUGACAGCCAUGGAAACAGGGGAAGUUUACUUGCACACGGAGACAGGUGGUGCAUGGUUGUCGUCAGCUCGUGUCGUGAGAUGUUGGGUUAAGUCCCGCAACGAGCGCAACCCUUGUCCUUAGUUGCCAUCAUUCAGUUGGGCACUCUAAGGAGACUGCCGGUGUCAAACCGGAGGAAGGUGGGGAUGACGUCAAAUCAUCAUGCCCCUUAUGAUCUGGGCUACACACGUGCUACAAUGGCCGGUACAACGAGAAGCGAAACCGCGAGGUGAAGAAAACUUUUAAAGCCGGUCCCAGUUCGGAUUGCAGGCUGAAACUCGCCUGCAUGAAGUUGGAGUUGCUAGUAAUCGCGGAUCAGCAUGCCGUGGUGAAUGCGUUCCCGGGUCUUGUACACACCGCCCGUCACACCAUGGAAGUUGGGGGCGCCCGAAGUUGGCCAGUUAAUAGGUUACCUAAGGCGAAAUCAAUGACUGGGGUGAAGUCGUAACAAGGUAACC